AUUGAACGCUGGCGGCAUGCCUUACACAUGCAAGUCGAACGGCAGCACGGGAGCAAUCCUGGUGGCGAGUGGCGAACGGGUGAGUAAUAUAUCGGAACGUGCCCAGUCGUGGGGAUAACGUAGCGAAAGCUACGCUAAUACCGCAUACGAUCUAUGGAUGAAAGCGGGGGAUCGCAAGACCUCGCGCGAUUGGAGCGGCCGAUAUCAGAUUAGGUAGUUGGUGAGGUAAAGGCUCACCAAGCCGACGAUCUGUAGCUGGUCUGAGAGGACGACCAGCCACACUGGACUGAGACACGGCCCAGACUCCUACGGAGGCAGCAGUGGGAAUUUUGGACAAUGGGCGCAAGCCUGAUCCAGCAAUGCCGCGUGCAGGA
This 374-nucleotide ribosomal RNA is filed under the name uncultured bacterium. Its description in RNAcentral is "bacterial SSU rRNA". It matches the Rfam family "Bacterial small subunit ribosomal RNA", at positions 30 to 408 of the family's 1533-position model. The record is from RNAcentral.